This 119-nucleotide ribosomal RNA is filed under the name Jaculus jaculus (lesser Egyptian jerboa). Lineage: Eukaryota; Metazoa; Chordata; Mammalia; Rodentia; Dipodidae. The record is from RNAcentral.
GUCUAUGACCAUACCACCCUGAAUGCACCUGAUCCCGUCUGAUCUCGAAAGCUAAGCAGGGUCGGGCCUGGUUAGUACUUGGAUGGGAGAAAGAAUGAGCAUGCCAGGUCUUCUAGCUA